AAACCAGCACCUCAAGUGGUCAGGAGGAUUAUUGGGCCUAAAGCAUCCGUAGCCUGCUCUGUAAGUUUCCGGUUAAAUCCACUAGCUCAACUAGUGGGCUGCCGAAAAUACUGUAGAACUAGGGAGUGGGAGAGGUAGACGGUAUUCGGUAGGAAGGGGUAAAAUCCUUUGAUCUGUUGAGGACCACCUGUGGUGAAGACGGUCUACCAGACCACGUUCGACGGUGAGGGAUGAAGGCUGAGGGAGCAAACCGGAUUAGAAACCCCAGUAGUCC
Molecule: ribosomal RNA, 274 nt
Filed under: uncultured bacterium
Lineage: Bacteria
Description: partial 16S ribosomal RNA
Rfam family: Archaeal small subunit ribosomal RNA
Source: RNAcentral